This 254-nucleotide ribosomal RNA is filed under the name uncultured bacterium. RNAcentral's name for it is "partial 16S ribosomal RNA". It matches the Rfam family "Bacterial small subunit ribosomal RNA", at positions 524 to 776 of the family's 1533-position model. The record is from RNAcentral.
CACGUAGGCACCAAGCGUUGUCCGGAUUUAUUGGGCGUAAAGAGCUCGUAGGCGGUUCAGUAAGUCGGGUGUGAAAACUCUGGGCUCAACCCGGAGACGCCACCCGAUACUGCUGUGACUUGAGUUCGGUAGGGGAGUGGGGAAUUUCUAGUGUAGCGGUGAAAUGCGCAGAUAUUAGAAGGAACACCGGUGGCGAAGGCGCCACUCUGGGCCGUAACUGACGCUGAGGAGCGAAAGCAUGGGGAGCGAACAGG